UUAAGGCUUUAAGUUAAAUAAACUAAUAUCCUUCAAAGUUAUAAAUAAAGUAGAUUGCUUUAAGUCUUA
This 69-nucleotide transfer RNA is filed under the name Amantis nawai. RNAcentral's name for it is "tRNA-Trp". Lineage: Eukaryota; Metazoa; Arthropoda; Insecta; Mantodea; Gonypetidae. The record is from RNAcentral.